GACGAACGCUGGCGGCGUGCUUAACACAUGCAAGUCGAACGGAAAGGCCCUGCUUUUGUGGGGUGCUCGAGUGGCGAACGGGUGAGUAACACGUGAGUAACCUGCCCUUGACUUUGGGAUAACUUCAGGAAACUGGGGCUAAUACCGGAUAGGAGCUCCUGCUGCAUGGUGGGGGUUGGAAAGUUUCGGCGGUUGGGGAUGGACGCGCGGCUUAUCAGCUUGUUGGUGGGGUAGUGGCUUACCAAGGCUUUGACGGGUAGCCGGCCUGAGAGGGUGACCGGCCACAUUGGGCCUGAGGUACGGCCCAGACUGCUACGGGAGGCAGCAGUGGGGAAUAUUGCACAAUGGGCGGAAGCCUGAUGCAGCAACGCCGCGUGCGGGAUGACGGCCUUCGGGUUGUAAACCGCUUUCGCCUGUGACGAAGCGUGAGUGACGGUAAUGGGUAAAGAAGCACCGGCUAACUACGUG
Molecule: ribosomal RNA, 468 nt
Filed under: uncultured bacterium
Lineage: Bacteria
Description: partial 16S ribosomal RNA
Rfam family: Bacterial small subunit ribosomal RNA
Source: RNAcentral